UGGGGAAUUUUGCACAAUGGGGGAUACCCUGAUGCAGCGACGCCGCGUGAUUUAGAAGGCCUUCGGGUUGUAACAAUCUUUUCUAUGGGAAGAAUAUGACAGUACCAUAGGAAUAAGUACCGGCUAAUUACGUGCCAGCAGCCGCGGUAAUACGUAAGGUCCGAGCGUUGUCCGGAAUCAUUGGGCGUAAAGGGUACGUAGGCGGGUAAGCAAGUUAGAAGUGAAAUCCUAUAGCUCAACUAUAGUAAGCUUUUAAAACUGCUCAUCUUGAGGUAUGGAAGGGAAAGUGGAAUUCCUAGUGGAGCGGUGAAAUGAGCAGAUAUGAGGAGGAAUACCGGUGGGGAAGGCGACUUUCUGGCCAUAACCUGACGCUGAGGUACGAAAGCGUGGGUAGCAAACAGG
Molecule: ribosomal RNA, 402 nt
Filed under: bacterium
Lineage: Bacteria
Description: partial 16S ribosomal RNA
Rfam family: Bacterial small subunit ribosomal RNA
Source: RNAcentral